Molecule: long non-coding RNA, 236 nt
Filed under: Homo sapiens (human)
Lineage: Eukaryota; Metazoa; Chordata; Mammalia; Primates; Hominidae
Description: LHRI_LNC1414.1
Source: RNAcentral
AUUAAAUUUUGGUGAGUAUCUUGAGGAGUAUUGGCAGGCAUAUUUUAGGUGUAAAACUACUGAAUCUCCCUCUCUGCUCUUUAGAAGUGUUUUGCAUUCCUCCUCAGCCUCCUGUACAGACAGACCUAGAACUCACAAAAUGACCUGUGAGAAAAUUUUUAAUGCAAUUAAACCCCUUAAAUUUCCAAUUCAUUACUCUAGCUCCACGUAACCACUGAAAGCUUUGCCGGUGUGAA